UUGCAAACCUGCUUCAAAAAGAGAUGCUACCUCUCUCCUCGGUGGAUUCUCGGUCUGGGCUCACGUGAACUUGCCUGAGUGGGACCCAGGGAUUCCGACCUAGAAUUCCUUGUAACCAAUCUAAUCUCUUCGUCCGCAGCCUCUGCUUCGCUGGGUCCAGGACGAGGGUCCUUCCAGCUCAGCAGUGAGUGAAUACUCUUGACCAUAAAACUCUCUGCCAACGGAAGACAUUGUAAAUAUAGAGCAACGCAGUCUGGUGGUCAUGGCUAAGGGACUUCCAGGCCAUGGUGGUGGAUGGAGUGCAGGACUUCCGUCUCUCGAGGACCAACCCGAAGAACAAAAUUGCAAAAGCCGAGAAAGAGUCCCAGCGGCAAAGUAAUCAAGCAUGAGAAGUUGCCAAAUGUGACGUUGUGUCCCGUCAGAGGCAGGGGCUGCCAUUGAGGUUGACCGUCUCCACAAGUGUUCACCGAUGGUCCAUGACGACGAUGGUCACAGGGUAGAAAGGAUGGAAUUCUAUGAAUUUCUUGCUGUUGUAGAUUUGGGUUAUAGUCUUCGCUGGAAGUUACUGAGAGAAAAGCCACCUUUUGCUUCAUCGUUGUGUGUGGGCACCGAGGAGACCUGGCGAAGGGCCGUGUGUGGUAAGUUGUGAUGGAGAGAGAGGUGUGAGUCUGGAGGUUGGAAAACCUGGGUUUUGAUUCUAGCUUUGUUGUUUAUUGUGUGAUGUUGGGUGAAUCCCAUAGACUUUCUUAGACGGUG
RNAcentral lists this long non-coding RNA (756 nucleotides) under Felis catus (domestic cat). Its description in RNAcentral is "lncRNA (ENSFCAG00000044255.2)". Lineage: Eukaryota; Metazoa; Chordata; Mammalia; Carnivora; Felidae. The record is from RNAcentral.